GAUGAACGCUGGCGGCGUGCCUAAUACAUGCAAGUCGAGCGAACGGACGAGAAGCUUGCUUCUCUGAUGUUAGCGGCGGACGGGUGAGUAACACGUGGAUAACCUACCUAUAAGACUGGGAUAUCUUCGGGAAACCGGAGCUAAUACCGGAUAAUAUUUUGAACCGCAUGGUUCAAAAGUGAAAGACGGUCUUGCUGUCACUUAUAGAUGGAUCCGCGCUGCAUUAGCUAGUUGGUAAGGUAACGGCUUACCAAGGCAACGAUGCAUAGCCGACCUGAGAGGGUGAUCGGCCACACUGGAACUGAGACACGGUCCAGACUCCUACGGGAGGCAGCAGUAGGGAAUCUUCCGCAAUGGGCGAAAGCCUGACGGAGCAACGCCGCGUGAGUGAUGAAGGUCUUCGGAUCGUAAAACUCUGUUAUUAGGGAAGAACAUAUGUGUAAGUAACUGUGCACAUCCUGACGGUACCUAAUCAGAAAGCCACGGCUAACUACGUG
This 497-nucleotide ribosomal RNA is filed under the name uncultured bacterium. Its description in RNAcentral is "partial 16S ribosomal RNA". It matches the Rfam family "Bacterial small subunit ribosomal RNA", at positions 28 to 507 of the family's 1533-position model. The record is from RNAcentral.